Non-coding RNA from Ictidomys tridecemlineatus (thirteen-lined ground squirrel), 698 nucleotides. Lineage: Eukaryota; Metazoa; Chordata; Mammalia; Rodentia; Sciuridae. The record is from RefSeq and is a predicted model, not a curated record.
AUGAUUAACGGCGGCCGCGCUCAGCUUGGGGCCUUCCAGCACUUUCCUGGGCCCAGAGAGCCGCUCCAUGGCUGGCCCUUCUGAAUCACGUCCCGGUUCCCGACUGGGUGAUCCUGGGCGCUAAGUCACCAGACUUUAUCUUGAAAAACAAUCGGAUGUAAUUGACUAGAACAAAUGGCACAUAUUUAGAGCACAAUUUGACAUGUGUCCGCCAUGGAGCCAUUACCACGAUCAAGAUCAUGAACACAUCCCACAGUGCUAAAAGUUUCCUCUUGCCACUUAGGAAACUCUCCCCCUCCCCAGGCGACCACUGAUGUAAUUUGUCACUAUACUUUGCAUUUUCUCGAAUCUUAUGUAGAGUAGAUGGAACGGUACUGUACCCACUCAGCAUAAGUCUUUUGCGGUUCAUCCAUCUAAGUCCUAGAAUCAGAUUGAAACCAAGGAUGCUUUACCUCAGAACUAAACUCCCAGCCCUUCUCCACCUGGCUUCAAACUCAAAAUCCUCUUGCUUCAGCCUCCCAAGUGGCUGGGAUUACAGGCUUGUGCCACCACAUACUUGUGGAUUUAUUCUGCACUUGCUCUUCUGUUCCAUUGAUGUAUUUGUUCAUCUUGACACCAAUACCACACUGUCUUGAUUACUGUAAGUUUAUUGUCAUUAUUUUAUUUGAAUAAAAAUAAGAUUUAUUUUUUAAUAUAAA